This is a non-coding RNA of Canis lupus familiaris (dog), 675 nucleotides long. RefSeq annotates it as ribonuclease P RNA component H1. The record is from RefSeq and is marked provisional. NCBI's taxonomy places the organism in Eukaryota, Metazoa, Chordata, Mammalia, Carnivora, Canidae.
CGGUAUUUGCAUGCUGCUGUGUGUUAUGGGAAGUCGCCGUGAGCGAGAAGGGCCGUGCGGGCGGCACUUUAUAAGCGGCGAGAGGGCUGCGCUGCGCAGGGCGGCGGGAAGCUCAGCGGUGGGGCCACGCGCGGAGUGCGCGUCACUCUCUCGGCCCCUGGGAAGGUCUGAGACUCGGGCCAGCAGCGGCCCUAGCAGGGCCCUCCCCGCGCGCGGGGGGGUGAGUUCCCAGAGAGCGGGCCCCGGAGAGGGCCUUCGGGCAGGAGAGGCCGCGCGCGCGGCGGAUGCCCCCUCCCCGGGGCUUGGAAUAGACUCACGGCCGGCACGGUGAGUUCAAUGGCUGGGCCGGGGCACCCGAGCAGGCCGGCGUCGGGCCGCGGGGCUCCGGAACCCAAUUCAGACUACUCUCCCCCGCCCGCUUUUGCCCCCCCGACCCCGCCCUGGCAUGGGGGCGUCCUAGACGCGCUGAGUCUGAGUCUUCCUUUCUUCUAUUUCUACUUUAGAAGUACUAUCUCCUGGAGGAGCGAGGAGAGCGCGCAGGAGCGGGGUGUGCGUGCAUGUGUGUGCGCGUGUGUAAGGGGGUUCCUCGCCGGGUGGGGCCGCGCCUGGCCUGGGCCGAAGCCACACGCUUGACCUCCCGGGUGCCCUUAGCCCUUAUUUAUUCCUGAGAGACAG